CAGUGGGAUCACAGCAAUAUGAAGUUUCAUUGAGGUAUUUCUUGUCCUCCAAGGUGGAAAGGGUGGGUGAGACAUCCCAGCAUUUGUACCCAAAUUUGCUAUGCAAAUUGUGCACUCUUUUCCCAUGAAGCAAUUCCUUUGACUGCAUUCCACUAAUUUACAUUUUAGCACCACUGAGCAUCCAAUGUCCCAUUUCAUGGCAUUGCUUAAUUGAAGGGUAUUAACUCUGCAAUAUCAGAGAUGCAAUUAAUUACUUAAUUAAUUAGACUUUACCUACAUAAUGCAUUAAUAGCAGGCAUCACAUAUUCCCUGAUCAUUCAUCUUCUCAAAGAAGCUGUGGCUUGGAGUGAGUAAAUCUGUAUUUUAUGAAGUUUGCAGAGGUUUAUUUUUAAAUGACAGGGCACUUCUGAGUUCUAAUUUGCAUUACUCUGCUUUCCUGUGACCAGGACUUCGAGGAGCAGUGAAGCAACCUUUGAAAGCUGGUUCACUUGGACAGCUGGCAAUAAAAGGCUGUGUGUCAAUAAGCAUUAUAGACCUGAUAAGAGCCUGUGACUUGAACUAUAUGCAAAAGUGAAAUGAACUUGCGUUCCUACUGAUCAUGACGUGCAAGGAGCAGUCACAGCUGAGGAAGGAAGUCCAGCUCAGCCCAAAAGAUCAAUGAAAGGGAUGGAGAGGCAAUUCCCUUUUCUUUUGUGUGUGCGUGUUGGUGUCUUUUUUCAAUACAAGUGAUGAAUGUGAAAGCAAUAAAGACUGAGAAGAUAAAAAGCUGGGAUUUGAGAGAAAGAGAUACUUCCCAUUAGGACAUGAAACCCUUAAACCCAUGAAUGCACUGUCUGUGAAACUGCUGGAAGCAAAGAGAAGCAAAGAAUGGAGUAGAAGAAAACAAUGGUCCAAAGGGCUGAAGACUUUUCCACCUUAGUGGAAACUUCACUGAAGUUAAAAGAACUUUGGAAUGAAUUCUUCCUGAAUGACUAAUCAUAGUUGUUCAUUUCAUUAGACUCCAAGAGGAAGCAAAAAUGGUGAGUCUGUUCUCUCAUCUACAAAGGAUGGUGGCCUUAUCAUGCUUCUGUGGACAACCUGAAACCAUAAAAAACUGAU
This 1098-nucleotide long non-coding RNA is filed under the name Cyanistes caeruleus (blue tit). RNAcentral describes it as "lncRNA (ENSCCEG00000004697.1)". The record is from RNAcentral. Lineage: Eukaryota; Metazoa; Chordata; Aves; Passeriformes; Paridae.